Acanthochromis polyacanthus (spiny chromis) is the source of this 560-nucleotide long non-coding RNA. RefSeq lists it as uncharacterized. Lineage: Eukaryota; Metazoa; Chordata; Actinopteri; Pomacentridae. The record is from RefSeq and is a predicted model, not a curated record. The transcript is spliced from 3 exons.
GCUGCAAUGCUUUUAUUGUGAAGGUCAGAGUUUGACAGGAAGAUAUUUUAAUUGUUGAAACGGAAAUAACGAAACUGCGUUGUUUUCCGUAACCUCAGCACAAAAGCACAUGAAGGGAGUACAGUAACAAUACUUCAUAUACGCAUUUUAAUAUCAUGCUAAACUCCGAACGACAAUCAGUCGCCCGAAAGGUGGAAUUGAACCACUCUGCCGCUAAGCAGCUACAGACGGUGGUGCUAGAAGGUUCCUGGUCUCCUCCUUCAGCAGAGAGCAGCACAUACUCCCAGCACAGGCCUUUCCACAGGCGAGGCUGCAGGCCAGGGGAGGAGGCGGGGAGGGGUCCUCUCUGUGGAUAACGAGGGAGGCAUCACUGCUGCCGCCUGCAGAAAAACCAGAGCAGGAGGCAAACUCUGGCUGAACGGAAGCCCAGCGUAGCAGUGCACAUGGACAGAAGCCACCAGGAGGGACUCGGUCAGCUGCCAGAUGUGGAGGUCGUGCACAGCCUGCACUCCAGGAACACUCGCAAUCUUCCGUCCAAGAUCAGACACACAAAUCUGUGG